Molecule: long non-coding RNA, 1410 nt
Organism: Daphnia pulex (common water flea)
Lineage: Eukaryota; Metazoa; Arthropoda; Branchiopoda; Diplostraca; Daphniidae
Exons: 4
Source: RefSeq, a predicted model, not a curated record
UCUGGAAGCUGGCGUUGAGCGAAUGAAAUCAAAGUAAAUUGCAGUUUGUUCCGUGUCUUCCACUUCCAAAUCAGUCGCUCUUCUCAGAGCCUGAUUGAAGUGAUUGACGAAUUUGGUAAAUUGGUCCACCCAUCAAAGUGUGAAGUUCCCUUGAUGUAUUUAGUCGUAAUAAUUUUUUUUAAAUUGUUAUUGUUGUUGGCACCAUGUUCCAUGUUGUUGGCUGAGACACUGAAGAUGACAUCUUGUGGCCAGGUUUGUCUUCAGUUGUUGGGCGUAGGCUAGCCCUUUAGCCCCUACCUUCUUGGUUCUUUGUUAGUUGAAUCAGGAGGUUCUGAGAGAAAGAGUCGCCAUUUUUAUUUGUUUGGGGUUUUGAUGUUAUCUUAAUUAACUGGAGUGCUACUUGUUAGGCAUUUCUUAAAAUUUGUGAUGGGUUUUAGUUGGUUUGGGUCGGCGGUUCGUGAGCUUGCUAUUAUUCUUGACGAAUUUUGAUGCUGAAAGACUUGGAAACCAUGCUGUCCACCACGCCGAGAAGCUGAGUAACAUUCUGCUUGUACAAUGGCGCCUCUUAAUAAAAGGAACUUGAGCCAUCCAAUCUAGGGCUUCCAUCCAAUCGUGCAGGCUGCAUGGAAGUCACAUUUACCUUUGCUGUGAACAUCAUGAACACAUACACUAUUUGAAGGUUCAUGUUUAUGUAACAGUGGUGUUGUUGCAGCCUUUGGUGGUGAAAGAUAUCUGCAUCAAGUUGCUGUUCCUGUCCAAGGUGGUGUGUUGUUGCAGACUAUGGUGGUGAAAGAUAUCUGCAUCAAGUUGCUGUUCCUGUCCAAGGUGGUGUGUUGUUGCAGACUAUGGUGGUUAAAGAUAUCUGCAUCAAGUUGCUGUUUCUUGUGCAUCCAAGGUGUUGGUUUUGUGCUACAGAAGUGACAUCCAAUAUUGUGUUUAAUUGCUAUUCGUGUCUAUGCAGUUUACCUUUUACAUGUUGAUAAGAAACAAAAAAAGUAAUAUGGGGAGGAUUAUGUCAAACAAAUAAUAAACAUGUCCGGGAUGGGGAAAUGAGGAGGAAGUUGGGGUGGGGUAUUUGGUUAUGAUUUACUAAAAGAAGUGAGGUAUAUUUGUAAUGAAUAUGCUGUACUUUGUUAUAAAAACUGUCGUUAACCUAUACCUUCCUGUCAACCUAUACCUCCCCUACUUCCACUUACACAUCUAUUCCUAAAACCACAUAAGCACCAACAUCAAAUCCCACAUAUCCACUCACAUCCAUUCCUAAAACCCCACAAACACCAAACCCCCACCAUUCACACAAUUGUUGUAUAUGUAUAAUUAAAUUUUAAUAAAUAAAAUGCAUUGUAUAUAACAUGUGUGUAACUAUAUUUAUUCUCGAACACUUGCAAAAUAAAAAAUUCAUUAAACAGA